CCAGUCCCCAUAGAUCCUCAUUAGGUAUUCUUUGUCCUCACAAGGUUUUACCUGGUUCUGUGCUAGAACAUGUUAAGGCUGUUCAUUAAGGCUGGUCAUUUUAUUUAUUUAUUAUUUUUUGGGAGGGGCCACACGGGGCCCAGCUUUGUUAAUCUUACUCAAUGUUUGCUGGCUCCUCAGUUGGAACUUCACGGAAUUUGCUUGGUCCGGAUUUUCGCAGACCUUACCAGCAUAGUUUAUAUGGAGGUCCUCUCUAGGGCCUCAUUAGAAUGUUGAUAUUUCUUAAUCAGUCUUAUGGAUAUGUACAUACAUGUAUAUGCAAAGCUCCUAACAUCAAAUCAGCUUUACCUGAAAAUUUAACCAAUAGAUGUGCCCAAACCUCUUCAUGUAGGAAUGUGCAAAAAUUAUUAUGUAACCCAAAGGGAACCAGGGACCUCCAUUAUUUUGCAUACAGUCAUUUUAGAUAAUUAUGUUCUUUUGUUCUACCAAAGAAAGUCAUUGCACACAUUGCGUAAAGUAAAAUCUUAUUCUCAACAGUUACAUGUAAAAGAGCUCAUUCAUAUUUUUCUUCCUUUGCUAGUUUGGAGCUUUCUUUAAAUGUGAAGUAGGCAUUUAGAUAAUUAUCCUAUCGGAUGAAAUUCUCCACUUCCCACAGCCAUGAUUUUCACCUUUAGCUCCCCGAUAUACGCAACGUAAUGGUCUUCACGUGCAGGCUAAAAAAAAUUUUCAAACGCUUAUACUGCGGGCACCUUGGCAUCCAUUAAAAUGUCAACUAACAUAAAUUACCCUAAAACAUAAAAUGUCUGCCUCCUGGCCCCAUUAGCCCAUGCACACCUCUGAUUAAUAUCUUGUGACAACUUUGUCGUGUCAUGAAUAACGCUUCGCGGCUGCCCCUGUUCCCUUCUCCACGACCUCCCCCCCCAACAGUCACUACCAAUCUAGACACACUUUGCGAAAUAUCUCUGUCUUGCUGAAGCCGCGAAACUUCAUAUAAGUCUUUUGCAUGUGUUUGUGUUUUUUUUCCCCAAGUCUGGAAUGAGACAUGAUAUGCUUAGAGAUUUUUUUCUUUCAUUCCUUUUUUUGACUUCUUUCCCCAUUUCUCCACUCUUGGCGUGAUGAGCUGCAGCCCUAUUUAAUUACCCUGGGUCUUGGCCGGGAAUUAGACUGUCCUGCUUGAUUUGCACUCUCAGCUCUGAUUGGCUCACUGAGAGGAAGCAUCACCUGUUGUGUUUGUGGAUGGUAAACCUGAUGACUUCUUUGCACAUUACCCCCUAAAGAUUCUUCAAAACAUGCUGUAGUCAAUGGACAGGUCUGGCAACCCCCCCGUGGUUUUUUUUUUUUAAAUCUUCUUUUGGAGGAAGUCCUUUGAUCCUACCAACUUCCGACUUUCAUUAAAAAAAAUGGUGUUUAUCUUAUGUGCACCACCCCAGCUGUAAUCCAUAUAAAAGGAUCCAGUCCCAGAGUUGUUGAUUCCUUCAUUCGCAUUAAAACUCUUAAUGAUGUGUAAUCAUUUAAUGUGUACUUCCUCAAACACUGGUAUUAGGUAUCCUAUGCCUUCUCUCAAGUGCCAAAGAAUGUAUGUCAAGGCUCAAGCUAGCUUAUCUCCGAUCGUGACCAGUUCUAGUUUAAGCACCGAUUUAUGUUGUAGUUUGGCAUUCUGAAAGUAAAGAACCAUUUUUUUUAUGUCAACUUACAAAGAUCUGUUUUCUCUGUCAAGUAGUUAAGUUUGUAAUACAUCUGGCUUCCCUUGUAGAAUAGAAACAUCUAAAAAAUGAGAUGAUAGGAAAAGAAAAUCCGGCUCUUUUUUACCAGGAUGUUUUCAGGAUGUCACUGCAUGAGCAAUGACACACUGUCGGCAGUGUGCAUACCUGCCCUUUGAAAAGAUCCGUCUUGCUUUGGUAUUUUCGUAACUGAAUGCACACUGGGAUUAUCCUCUACUGGAUUACAGCCCAGUGAAAUUGAUGGAUUGAGGAGUGACAGAUGAUUUAACAUGGAGAUUGUCGCCAUUUUUCAUUCACAUUUGGAGUUGUUUAUAACACGGUUGGCUUGCUUUCUGGUGCAGGAUGGUCUUUUGACUGGUGUGUGUAGCUUGUUGGGUUUAUUUUGCAAGUACAGCAUGGCCAGUUUGGUUAGCGUUUAGGGACUAGCCGAUUGACUGAACUAGCAAGUGGUUAAUCGGUCUGGUAGAUGGCUAGUUCCAGGUUGGUAGCAGGGUGGUAAGAUUGUAUUUUCAGUCAUUGCAGAUUUUCUAGUUUGUUUAGCUGCUUUUAUCUGCUGAAUGGUUUCUACCUGGCUCUGUACUUGACUGUAAGUUGAGGUUGCGAACAAGAAAUGGACCAGAAGGAAUACCAUCUACACCCUGUGUUACUGUGGGCCCUCCAAACCUCUGGAAGCCAGCUUACUAUCCUGCGUUGACCCGACCAGACAAGACUUCCUCUGAAAAACAUCCAAGGAGCUGUCUGACCUCUGUGUUGAUCCAAGAGGCUAAGGAGAGGGCUAGGUUGUAAGGGGGUACAUCCUCAGUUUUACCAUGUUCAUUGGACAGCACAA
Acanthaster planci (crown-of-thorns starfish) is the source of this 2550-nucleotide long non-coding RNA. The record is from RefSeq and is a predicted model, not a curated record. Lineage: Eukaryota; Metazoa; Echinodermata; Asteroidea; Valvatida; Acanthasteridae.